GACGAACGCUGGCGGCGUGCCUAACACAUGCAAGUCGAGCGGGGAGGAGGAAGCUUGCUUCCGAAUCCUAGCGGCGGACGGGUGAGUAACGCGUGAGCAACCUGCCUUGAACUGGGGGAUAACGCAUCGAAAGAUGUGCUAAUACCGCGUAAGACCACAGCACCGCAUGGUGCGGGGGUCAAAGGAGCAAUCCGGUUUAAGAUGGGCUCGCGUCCGAUUAGCUAGUUGGUGAGAUAACAGCCCACCAAGGCAACGAUCGGUAGCCGACCUGAGAGGGUGAUCGGCCACAUUGAAACUGAGACACGGUCCAA
Molecule: ribosomal RNA, 311 nt
Filed under: uncultured bacterium
Lineage: Bacteria
Description: bacterial SSU rRNA
Rfam family: Bacterial small subunit ribosomal RNA
Source: RNAcentral